ACGUUAUUUUUUACCUAGAAUUAGAUAUUUCUUGUCUUAGUAAAAAAAAGCAGCUGCUGUUGAACAACUCCCAAAGUUCCUGCUUUCGUCGCUUCCUGUUCCUGCCGUCGAACUCGCUGAUCCAAUGAAAAAUGACGGAAUUCGAAAAAUGGACUAAUGGCAUCAUAUUCCUCUUGGAAUGUUUAUUGAGUCGGCAGAUCAACGAUCUUUCGGCAUUUACAUUCAUAUAUGGCCAUUCCAGUAGCAGUGAGCACGAAUUUUCCAAACUCCUGGAAAUUAAUAAAACUUUCCUGGACGAAAAACUCCUAGUACCGAUCAGCAUUCGAAGCCAGUUAUCUUCAAUAAGAUAAUAUUGGUCCAACAAUUUGACGGCACAAAACUUGGUUCGUGGCAAAUUCUUCGUGGUUAGGCACCACGCUCGCCAAGUCGAUUUACAUCUAUUCUAUUUAUAAAUACUUUCCCUGAGAUUAGGCAUACCGUCAGAUAGCUCCGCAAUGAUGUGCAAUCAAUUAUAAUGCAUCCUUAGCUCCCAUAUUCAUCCUAUUUGAAAAUAAAAUAAUUGAUUGGAAAAAUUGUUUUUCAUAUAAACAAAACACUGAAUAAAAACCUAAUUAUAGGUAAUUUUUAACGUUUUUU
Long non-coding RNA from Armigeres subalbatus, 636 nucleotides. RefSeq lists it as uncharacterized. NCBI's taxonomy places the organism in Eukaryota, Metazoa, Arthropoda, Insecta, Diptera, Culicidae. The record is from RefSeq and is a predicted model, not a curated record. The transcript has 3 exons.